RNAcentral lists this ribosomal RNA (253 nucleotides) under uncultured bacterium. RNAcentral describes it as "partial 16S ribosomal RNA". It matches the Rfam family "Bacterial small subunit ribosomal RNA", at positions 524 to 776 of the family's 1533-position model. The record is from RNAcentral.
UACGUAGGGGGCAAGCGUUGUCCGGAAUCAUUGGGCGUAAAGCGCGUGUAGGCGGUCCGGUAAGUCCGCUGUGAAAGUCGGGGGCUUAACCCUCGGAUGCCGGUGGAUACUGUCGGGCUUGAGUACGGAAGAGGCGAGUGGAAUUCCUGGUGUAGCGGUGAAAUGCGCAGAUAUCAGGAGGAACACCGGUGGCGAAGGCGGCAUCCUGGACCGGCAUUGACGCUGAGGCGCGAAAGCCAGGGGAGCAAACGGG